UCUGUGAAUCUGUUUCUGUUCUGUAAAUAGGUUCAUUUGUGCCAUAUUUUAGAUUCCACAUGUAAGUGACAGCAUAUGAUAUUUGUCUUUAUCUUUGACUCACUUCACUUAGUAUGAGAAUCUCUAGUUGUAUCCACGUUGCUGCAAAUAGCAUUACUUCGUUCUUUUUAUGGCUGAGUAAUAGUCCAUUCUGUAGAUGCACCACAUCUUUUUCAUAGAUUCAGGGCAUGUUUGUUGGAACUAACAGUUUGCUGAGGGACUGCAUGUAAAGAAAAAGAAAAGGUAGGAGUUCCUGUUGUGGCUCAGUGGGUUAAGAACUCAACUAGUAUCUAGGAGGACACGGGUUCAAUCCCUGGCCCCACUCAGUGGGUUAAGGAUCCAGGGUUGCUGUGGCUGUGAUAUAGGCCGGUGGCUUCAGCUCCGAUUUGACCCCUAGCCUGGGAAUUUCCCUGUGCUGCAGGUGCAGCCUGAAAAAAAAAAAGAGGGAAAGGUAACUCUGAGGCUAUGUGCCAGCGCCAAAAGGACACUUGUGGUUCCCUCAGAGGAAGAAGACGGGGAGAGCAGGCACAGGAGCUCCUGACCGAAGAGCCCGGUUUUGGCCACGUUCCCUGAGAGACCGAGGUAGGGGAUGCACUCGCUGGGUUCAGGGGCAAAGACUGGGACUAGAGGCCCACUGGGGAGCUGUCUCAGGAAGGGAACAAUGAAGGCGAGAGGUGAGGAGAGCGGGGAGGGAGCGGCCAGUGAGAACCAAGGGCUGUGGGCCUGGGCAGUCAGGAGACAGGACGGCCCGCAGAGACCGGGAGAGGGGCCUGAACACAGGGUGGCCUUUGCAGACUUCAGGAGGUGUUUGGGGACAAGGAAGUGAUGGCCAAGUCCAUGCAGCUGACCGGUUAAAAUAAGAACUGAGCUGCAACCACAGGCUUUGGCAACAGAGAGGCCUGGGGAGCUUGCAGGAGCCAGCGCGCGCCCUCACUGAGAAUACGGCAGGCGGGAGAUCCAGGUUUCACUUGCAAGACUUUGAAGGCUGUGGCUCCGUCUGCAGAUGAGCAGAAUUCCUGAGAGCAAACCUCAGAAUCGGAGCAUCAGGAGCAGUGCUUCUUGAAGUUUAAUGUGCAGCCAACUCCCCUGCAGAUCUUACUAGGUGCAAAUAUGGCUGAGGAGGCCUGGAAUGGAGCCGGAGACCCCGCAUUUCUUUUGCUUUUUAGGGCCACACCCGUGGCAUGUGAAGGGUUCCCAGGCUAGGGGUCCAAUUGGUGCUAUAGCUGCCGGCCUACACCACAGCUGACUGCAAUGCAGGAUCUGAGCCGCAUCUGCGACCGACACCACAGCUCGCGGCAACACCGGAUCCUUAACCUGCUGAGCAAGGCCAGGAAUCGAACCCACCACGUCCUCAUGGAUCCUAGUCGGGUACCUUACCCCUGAGCCACAACAAGAACUCCAGAGAGAGCAUUCCUGAGUGGUGGUGCUGAAGAAAGCCUAACCAGAGCAGGUGCCAGGGCAAGUGGGAGGAGAAGAAGUUGAAAGAAUAGUACAGGGAGUUCUGUCAAAUUUCUAGGGGAGGAGGAGGAGGCCCAUGGGGUCAGGGCAAGGUUUUUAUGUUUGUUUUUGCCACACCCUUGGCAUGUGGAAGUCCCUGGGCCAGGGAUCGAACUCACGCUGCCACCUCAACCUUCGCCACAGCUUCGGCAACACCAGAUCCUUAACCCGCUGCACCACAGGGGACCUUCCCCAAGGGUUUUAUUUUAGAGGAAGCAGAGAGCCCAGCAUGUGUGUCUAUGGAUGAGCAGGAAUGAACCAGAAGAGAAAAGCCGAUGACGGGAUGAGACCAGUACAGAGAGGUGGCUGGAGAGCUGCCUUUGGUGGCUGGUGGGGGUGGACCCGGCACAAGAAGGGAGGUGGAUCCCGGGUCCCAGGAGCAGUUCAUCUGCAAACUAGGAGGCCGUGCAGAGCUUGUGGGCAGCCCCCCAGACCAUGCCCAGGCCCUCCUGGGACUGGGCAGUCAACUCUAGGCCCUGUCUUCCUGAGUUCUACUGGACUUUUCCUUUAAACCGCCCUAGGGUUUGCAAAGUGGACUGUCCCCUACACGUAAGCCUCAUCUGAGUCGCACAGUCACCACGGCUCUCACAAAGCCGAUGCUAUGGAGCAUCCGGAGGUCCCGUGGAACUGGACCCCUUUAUUUAAUGCAUUACUUUUACACCUGCCUACUGGUCAUUCCACUUUUCAUCAGGUGCGAUUUUUCUAUUCUCCCUUAGAAACUUCUGGUCUCUGCACAGUCCUAAAUCUUCAGUGUUUCUGAACACCUCACAGGCUCACACUCUGGCUUUAGAGCACAUAUCCUCUGGGAUUUUUCAAAAGUGCUCGUUCUUUCUCCCUCGCGUGGGCCAUUAGCCGUUUGCGUUCAGCUGCAGGAAUUAUACAGCAAGUGAGCGGCUGAGCUGGGAUUUUCAAAACUGCCCCAACUCGUACUUUCCUUACACAUCCGCUUAUGUAAGUCAAACAAAGCAUUUGACCUUGGGAGGUUUGCAGAGAAGGGUUGUUUUUGUAGAAUUCCUGCCCAGGCUUUGAUCUGGGAUUUGGGGAAUUAGGGCAAGGCAAAAAGUGGUUAAGGUAACUACUAAAGGGAGUUGAUUUAAGCAUUAUGAGCCAAACAUUUGAGGAUUUUCUAAAAACUAAAUGUCAGCAUGAAGCCCUGGCCCCAGCCAGCCCUGGCUGUACCCUGCUCUUCUCUGAGGGACCUACCUUUGUUCCAGUCCUGCUCUCCUUAAGCCUAUUUGCUGUAGUUUUCCAACCCUGCUGGGAAGCAGUGGUUUUUGCUAGUUGUUAGCAGCUUAACAAAGCAGUGGGAAGGCUGUGUAGAUGUAUCAUUAGUAAUAGAAGAAAAAAUUAUUAAUAGUUUGAUGAGAUAAACAUGUUUGCCUAAAAUGAUGCUAUGCAGUAGUAACUCGGGUGUGUCCAGAUGUUUAGUCACAUUGACUCAGCAUAAUUUCUCCCUUGCCAAAUCUCAGACUAGAGCAAUCAAUUCGUUCCUGCAACAGAAUCUGAUAGUAGGCUUUCCUUGUAAGGAAGGCUUGCAGAAAAAGGAAAUAGUUGCAAAAAAGUUGCUAGUUAUGAAAAAGGACCAAGGCUGUCUUGAGGAAAGCAAUUGUGUGUGUAAAGUUCUACCUGUAAAAUCUUUACAAGUGCUGCUUGUUCUCCACAAGUCAUUGAAAGUUAAUUUCAAUUUAGCUUUCCACUUAAAGUCAACCAGACAUCUCUGACCUACAGAUACACCUGGUUUCUGACUUUGCAUGAUGAUGGCCCGCUAAUCUGAUGGGGAAAGGGUGCUGGGAUCGGCCCUAGUAGACUUGAAUUAAAGUUCAGUUCUGCUACUAAUUAGCUGAGAAAGUCAGCUUCCCUGAGCUGAGAUCCUUGUUUCACAUAAGAUAAUACCAACCAUGGUGGAAGUGCCCAUUGUGGAUCAGCAGUAUCCAAGAGGAUGAGGGUUCAGUCCCUGGCCUCACUCAAUGGGUUAAGGAUUCGGCGUUGCUGAGAGCUGUGGUUUAGGUCGCAGAUGCGGCUCGGAUCCCGAGUUGCUGUGGCUGUGGCGUAGGCCAGUGGCUGUAGGUCCAAUUUGACCCCUAGCCUGGGAACUUCCAUAAGCCAUGGGUGCAGCCCUAAAAAGAAAGAAA
RNAcentral lists this long non-coding RNA (3668 nucleotides) under Sus scrofa (pig). RNAcentral's name for it is "lncRNA (ENSSSCG00000053646.1)". The record is from RNAcentral. Lineage: Eukaryota; Metazoa; Chordata; Mammalia; Artiodactyla; Suidae.